GAAGUGCGAACCAAGCAGUCACACGCUGGUGAUGUGAGACUUGGAGCUGACCUUGGUGACGGGGUCAUGCA
This 71-nucleotide non-coding RNA is filed under the name unclassified sequences. Its description in RNAcentral is "Transposase-2 RNA". It matches the Rfam family "Transposase-2 RNA". The record is from Rfam by way of RNAcentral.